This is a long non-coding RNA of Salvia splendens (bonfire salvia), 927 nucleotides long. RefSeq lists it as uncharacterized. Lineage: Eukaryota; Viridiplantae; Streptophyta; Magnoliopsida; Lamiales; Lamiaceae. The record is from RefSeq and is a predicted model, not a curated record. The transcript has 5 exons.
AUUUUUGAGAAGUUGGAGUACUAGUUCGUGGGAAAGUCGUAUCUACCGUGGAUACUCUUUAUUUGACACCUCCCCACUUCUCCUCCACGCCGCUGCCGUCGUCCUUGUCCGACCAACACCACUUUGCCGCCGUCUCCGUCGCCGGGUGUGGCCUGCACAGCCAUCUCCUCUCUCAUCUCCGCCUCACUGUUCGUCUCUCUCUCAUCUCCACAGGCAGCAGGGAAGUGCUGCGACGUUUUUGGAUCUGUGUGGCGUCGAAUCCGCGAGCCCGAGAGUUGGAGAUCUGAAAUACUCGCACUGCAGCCCGGUUUCCACCGAAUCGAUGGUCCCGGUUUAUCCAUCGAUAUUAGUUUGAUUUUUCCUCUGCAUCUUCUCUAUCGCUGUGCCGCCCCUUGCUGAACACGCCGCCGCUGUGAACACCCUGCCAGCUUGACGUCCCUCUUUCUCUGAAGCGAUGAAUUGGGUUCAACGCAAGAUUUAUCUUUACAACGUCACCUUCGGUCUCUACAUGCUCGAUUGGUGGGAGCGCUAUCUUUUCAAUACACUUGUUGUUGUGCUGAUGUGGUUUAUCUUCUACAACACUUCGAGAUACGUGACUGAUUUCUGCAAAAGGCACCUGCAUUGACGUAUAGCUUCUGUCCUCGGAUACUAGUGUGCAUUACCAUGUGGAGUAACGUCUGAGUCGUGUUUUAGCAGCGGACAACUGAAAAUGUGCUCAAGCAAUUCAAAUGUAUGUACUUUCUCAUUUCCAGACUUCAAAGGAUCAAUCUGUCUUAUGUCCUCUUGAUCCCACUCAAGAAAUUAUGCAUUUGUAAUGAUGUAAAAGGUCAGACUCACUGAUUCUGCUUAGCCAUUUAAGUUUCAGUCUUUGCCUUUGAAUGAAUUUUAAAGCUAAAUGUUUUUUCAGUCACUGAAUUUGAUUUUUAA